Molecule: ribosomal RNA, 465 nt
Filed under: uncultured bacterium
Lineage: Bacteria
Description: partial 16S ribosomal RNA
Rfam family: Bacterial small subunit ribosomal RNA
Source: RNAcentral
GACGAACGCUGGCGGCGUGCUUAACACAUGCAAGUCGAACGGAAAGGCCCUGCUUGCAGGGUACUCGAGUGGCGAACGGGUGAGUAACACGUGGGUGAUCUGCCCUGCACUUCGGGAUAAGCCUGGGAAACUGGGUCUAAUACCGGAUAGGAGCCAUUUUUAGUGUGAUGGUUGGAAAGUUUUUUCGGUGUAGGAUGAGCUCGCGGCCUAUCAGCUUGUUGGUGGGGUAAUGGCCUACCAAGGCGGCGACGGGUAGCCGGCCUGAGAGGGUGGACGGCCACAUUGGGACUGAGAUACGGCCCAGACUCCUACGGGAGGUAGCAGUGGGGAAUAUUGCACAAUGGGCGCAAGCCUGAUGCAGCGACGCCGCGUGGGGGAUGACGGCCUUCGGGUUGUAAACUCCUUUCGCUAGGGACGAAGCUUUUUGUGACGGUACCUAGAUAAGAAGCACCGGCUAACUACGUG